GAGGGGACUUCAGACUCCCAUUCAUUCACACUUUCAUGACUGCAUAGACUCUCUCUCUCUCUCUCCAAUGUGCCUUCCUUACCGGAGUUUUCUUCGCUGCACCGGAGGCGGCGGAGUAACCCAAAAUGCAUUCAAACAACCAUCACAGUGAUCCCCUCAACCUCCUUUAUCCCAUUAUAGAACUCUCCUUUCUUAAAGCUCAAUUAAACUCCCAAAUCGUACCAAAAUAGAUAAAAACCCUAAGUUUAAAAAACAAAAUUAAAUGACGAUGGUUGGCUAAUCCGAAUGCAAACCUUAGGGGUUUGGGUUUUUGCCUGAUCAAUUGCUACAUUGUGGUAACUAAAUUAGAGCAAGGAGAGUGAAGAUUGGGGACCUACCUACAAAGCGGAGGUUGCCUUGGAGCUUGUUGAAUGUGAAGGUGAUGAAGCUGAAGAAAGAAGACCAGAGAUGUUCAGUUGCAAUUGAUGUUAGUCUUGAAGCAUCAUUUAUGAAGCCCCUCCUAGUUUGGCAUAACAACAUGGCUAGCAUGGCAUUAAAGAUACUUGGCAUGACAUGAAGACAACAUAAAGAUCAUGAAGGUUUUUGAGACCCACAAAAUAAGGAAGGUUUAUGAAUGAAGAAAAAUGGGAUUAGGGUUAGGAACAGUUGACCAAAGUCAACUUUAGGUCAACAAUGUGCAUUUUUAUGUAGAAUUGGAUUUUGAACUUCUUGUAAUGGAACUUUGGGUGAUUUGUAAUGAAAUUGACCCUUGAAUAGAAAUUUGACUUAAUCUUUGUAGGUGUUUAA
Molecule: long non-coding RNA, 786 nt
Organism: Lathyrus oleraceus (garden pea)
Lineage: Eukaryota; Viridiplantae; Streptophyta; Magnoliopsida; Fabales; Fabaceae
Exons: 2
Source: RefSeq, a predicted model, not a curated record